Molecule: ribosomal RNA, 792 nt
Filed under: uncultured crenarchaeote
Lineage: Archaea; Thermoproteati; Thermoproteota
Description: bacterial SSU rRNA
Rfam family: Archaeal small subunit ribosomal RNA
Source: RNAcentral
AACGGCUCAGUAACACGUAGUCAAUCUACCCUAUGGACGGGAAUAACCUCGGGAAACUGAGAAUAAUGCCCGAUAGAACAUUAUGCCUGGAAUGGUUUAUGUUUUAAAUGAUUUAUCGCCAUAGGAUGGGACUGCGGCCUAUCAGUUUGUUGGUGAGGUAAUGGCCCACCAAGACUAUUACAGGUACGGGCUCUGAGAGGAGUGGCCCGGAGAUGGGUACUGAGACACGGACCCAGGCCCUAUGGGGCGCAGCAGGCGAGAAAACUUUGCAAUGUGCGAAAGCACGACAAGGUUAAUCCGAGUGAUUUCUGCUAAAGAAAUCUUUUGCUAGUCCUAGAAACACUAGUGAAUAAGGGGUGGGCAAGUUCUGGUGUCAGCCGCCGCGGUAAAACCAGCACCUCAAGUGGUCAGGAUGAUUAUUGGGCCUAAAGCAUCCGUAGCUCGUUUUGUAAGUUUUCGGUUAAAUCCAUACGCUUAACGUAUGGGCUGCCGGGAAUACUGCAUAACUAGGAAGUGGGAGAGGUAGACGGUACUCGGUAGGAAGGGGUAAAAUCCUUUGAUCUAUUGAUGACCACCUGUGGCGAAGGCGGUCUACCAGAACACGUUCGACGGUGAGGGAUGAAAGCUGGGGGAGCAAACCGGAUUAGAUACCCGGGUAGUCCCAGCUGUAAACUAUGCAAACUCAGUGAUGCAUUGGCUUGUGGCCAAUGCAGUGCUGCAGGGAAGCCGUUAAGUUUGCCGCCUGGGAAGUACGUACGCAAGUAUGAAACUUAAAGGAAUUGGCGGGGGAGA